CUCCGUGCUUACCGGGGCCUCCCCGGCCAGCCCUCGUGGGAAUAUUGGAACAGACCAGUUGGGGAGGCGGAUGUCAGCACAAGCAGGACCACACAGGUGAAGAGCACGCGCUCUGUCGCAGCACUGUUGCAGGGCCCAGCAGGAGGCCGGCCUCGGUUCCCCCGGAGUGGGGAGCCGUGGACACGGCUAAGGGGAUCAGCUUUGAGCUGGGGGCGUGUCGUCCCAGAGCCCGGCCUGGCUCUCCUGUGUCCCCAGCAUGCUGCCCAGGUGGGGCAUGGAGCCCUGAGAGCGCAGGAGAAGCUGUGUUUGCCCCAUUUUACAGCUGAGCACAUGGAGUCUUGGGACCUGAAAGUUGUCCAGGAUGUCUCAGCUCCAAGAGACAGUGGCAGGAACAAAACGCUGUCCCUGUGACUCGAACAGGCCAGGCCCCUACCUGCUGCAUGAAGCAGCCCCAGCAUAGUUGUGUGUUUAAGGGAGAGGAGCCCUCGGGGGCAGCAACGGUCAGGAGGGGAACAGCCCCUUGAACUGACUCGCAAGGGGCAGGGGUCUGCUGGUGGUCAUGUGGAGAACAACAGAUUCUGGACAUGCUGGCCGCUCACUGUCCUCCAGUGCUGGAGUCCUGGGCUCUGCAGGUCAGGAGCUGACAAAAGCUGGAUCCAAAUCUGGAAGGUGCCUUCAAGGGCGUGACACCUAACUGGCUGCUAUCCCUGCACCUCCCACGACAGCCUCAUGCUCCGCCGCCCCCGCGAGGAAUUUUAUGGAUGCAAAGAAGGUGGAGACAUGAAAUAAACACUUGGGUUUUAAC
RNAcentral lists this long non-coding RNA (805 nucleotides) under Equus caballus (horse). RNAcentral describes it as "lncRNA (ENSECAG00000038543.3)". The record is from RNAcentral. Lineage: Eukaryota; Metazoa; Chordata; Mammalia; Perissodactyla; Equidae.